CAUACAGAUUACUCCUAAGUUAGAAGACGAGCGUUAUCCGCCUUAUGCCUGAUCCCUGUUUUAAGGAGGACUCCUGUGGACUGUGUAACAAUGAAACAAAGUAGUGAGGAAGCUAUUGAAUUCACCACGUGACACAAACUGUACAGUAACCAAGAAUAAUUACCAAGACACAGAUGAAAUGAGAGAGCAGACAAAUCUACACCGGGCUUGUGGGAGGUUUCACAAAAGAGGAAUCAAUGGUGCCUGAGGACAGACAGACCACAACUUGGAAUGGCAAGCAGGAGGGAAAAGAGGCGGCUCAGCGCUGGGCUCCUGGGAGCAGCAGGAAGCUGUUUUCCACUACAGUAAAGAUCCGGUUGGUUUUGUGGCUAAAGAGGAGAAGGGGGAGCUGAGUCAUCCCUGUGCCUGGAGGAGCAGCUUUUAUCCUUGGUCAUGCUGGCGCUGACAAAGGAGCAGCAACCUGCCUGCCUUCGGAUUAAGCAGAAACAGGAAAGUGAAAGAAGACACCGUGAAAACUCGCUCCAUUGCAACUGGCCCGGGCUUACCCACAAUGCAACUGUCACCAAGGGAAGGGAGUGAAGGGAGCCUCUCUACGCGUGAGAGAUGAAUCAAAGGUCGGAACUGAUCGUAUAGAAACAUCGGAACCCGAAUUUCCUCACUCUGAUUACUUCUGCACGAACAUUUUAUUUAGAAAUCUCUCUGGCUGGAAAUGGACUUGUCUGUCAAGUACCACGGUUAUAAUAACGGCACUACACUGCAAAGUAAGAGUUAACUGCGGAAAUGAACGUUAGCAUCCCGCGGUGGCUGGGAAUGUGUAACCAGCUCUCGCUGCCGAGGACAGAGGGGCAGAGUACGGGUGCCGCACAAUCAAAAAGAAAUGCAACCUGUGAGUCAGCUAUGACCUUGGAGAGCAGGGAGAGACACCUUCGAAACGGGAUUUUUAUUUCAUUGCUUGUUCCUCCAAGCAAAUUUUGGCUUCCUUCCUGAUGGAGAUCUACUCUGUGUGACAAGGAGCCUGGAACUGUUGAAAGAGAGCCUGUUGUCUUCCUUCAGGUUCUUUCUUAAAAAUAAAUGUAAUAUCUUAAAGUCAA
Molecule: non-coding RNA, 1091 nt
Organism: Rattus norvegicus (Norway rat)
Lineage: Eukaryota; Metazoa; Chordata; Mammalia; Rodentia; Muridae
Source: RefSeq, a predicted model, not a curated record